AUUGAACGCUGGCGGCAUGCCUUACACAUGCAAGUCGAACGGCAGCACGGGAGCAAUCCUGGUGGCGAGUGGCGAACGGGUGAGUAAUGUAUCGGAACGUGCCCAGUCGUGGGGGAUAACGCAGCGAAAGCUGUGCUAAUACCGCAUACGAUCUAUGGAUGAAAGCGGGGGAUCGCAAGACCUCGCGCGAUUGGAGCGGCCGAUAUCAGAUUAGGUAGUUGGUGGGGUAAAGGCCCACCAAGCCUGCGAUCUGUAGCUGGUCUGAGAGGACGAGCAGCCACACGGGGACUGAGACACGGCCCAGACGCCUACGGGAGGCAGCAGUGGGGAAUUUUGGACAAUGGGCGCAAGCCUGAUCCAGCAAUGCCGCGUGCAGGAUGAAGGCCUUCGGGUUGUAAACUGCUUUUGUACGAGACGAAAAGACUCGCUCUAUACAGUGGGUACAUGACGGUAUCGUAAGAAUAAGCACCGGCUAACUACGUGCCAGCAGCCGCCGUAA
This 499-nucleotide ribosomal RNA is filed under the name uncultured bacterium. RNAcentral describes it as "partial 16S ribosomal RNA". It matches the Rfam family "Bacterial small subunit ribosomal RNA", at positions 30 to 523 of the family's 1533-position model. The record is from RNAcentral.